Molecule: non-coding RNA, 24 nt
Filed under: Oryctolagus cuniculus (rabbit)
Lineage: Eukaryota; Metazoa; Chordata; Mammalia; Lagomorpha; Leporidae
Also listed under: 2 other names
Source: RNAcentral
AGUUGGUAGAGCGGAGGACUGUAG